GGGAGGUAGUGACAAUAAAUAACAAUACAGGGUCCUUAUGGGUCUUGUAAUUGGAAUGAGUACAAUUUAAAUCUCUUAACGAGGAACAAUUGGAGGGCAAGUCUGGUGCCAGCAGCCGCGGUAAUUCCAGCUCCAAUAGCGUAUAUUAAAGUUGUUGCAGUUAAAAAGCUCGUAGUUGAAUUUCGGAAUCAAUACGUCGGUCGUGCCUCUGGUAUGUACUGGUGUUGUUGGUUUCUCCUUUCUGAGGAGCCAUGAUGCCAUUAAUUUGGUGUCGUGGGGAAUCAGGACUGUUACUUUGAAAAAUUAGAGUGUUUAAAGCAGGCACACGCUUGAAUACAUUAGCAUGGAAUAAUGAAAUAGGACGUUCGAUUCUAUUUUGUUGGUUUCUAGGAUCAACGUAAUGAUUAAUAGGGAUAGUUGGG
Molecule: ribosomal RNA, 422 nt
Filed under: uncultured Glomeraceae
Lineage: Eukaryota; Fungi; Glomeromycota; Glomeromycetes; Glomerales; Glomeraceae
Description: SSU rRNA
Rfam family: Eukaryotic small subunit ribosomal RNA
Source: RNAcentral